GUGGGGAAUUUUGGACAAUGGGCGCAAGCCUGAUCCAGCCAUUCCGCGUGCAGGAUGAAGGCCUUCGGGUUGUAAACUGCUUUUGUACGGAACGAAAAGCCUCUGGUUAAUACCCGGGGGUCAUGACGGUACCGUAAGAAUAAGCACCGGCUAACUACGUGCCAGCAGCCGCGGUAAUACGUAGGGUGCAAGCGUUAAUCGGAAUUACUGGGCGUAAAGCGUGCGCAGGCGGUUUUGUAAGACAGAGGUGAAAUCCCCGGGCUCAACCUGGGAAUUGCCUUUGUGACUGCAAGGCUGGAGUGCGGCAGAGGGGGAUGGAAUUCCGCGUGUAGCAGUGAAAUGCGUAGAUAUGCGGAGGAACACCGAUGGCGAAGGCAAUCCCCUGGGCCUGCACUGACGCUCAUGCACGAAAGCGUGGGGAGCAAACAGGAUUAGAAACCCUGGUAGUCC
Molecule: ribosomal RNA, 450 nt
Filed under: uncultured bacterium
Lineage: Bacteria
Description: partial 16S ribosomal RNA
Rfam family: Bacterial small subunit ribosomal RNA
Source: RNAcentral